GCUCUACAGAGCAACCAUUCUGUCCUGUUUGUCUCGAGAGAUUGGACCAGGAUACAAGUGGAAUUCUCACAACCAUUUGUAAUCAUUCCUUUCAUUGUUCAUGUAUUUCAAAAUGGACAGAUUCUUCAUGCCCCGUAUGCCGAUAUUGUCAGCAGCAGCCUGGAAACUCAACAUGUUCUAUCUGUCAAUCACCAGAAAAUCUAUGGAUGUGUGUUAUUUGUGGUUUUGUUGGGUGUGGAAGAUAUAAAGAGGCUCAUGCUACAAGGCACUGGAAGGAGACACAACAUUGCUAUGCACUUGAAUUAGAAACACGGCGUGUCUGGGACUACGCAGGGGAUAACUAUGUUCACCGUUUGAUUCAGUCUAAAACUGAUGGGAAGCUGGUUGAGCUCAACCACCAUGGUCAUCAUGAUAGUGAUGGCUGCUGCAGCUGCGAGUGUGGUACAGAUCCUGGGUUCAGCGAGACUAUUUUAAACAGCAAAGUUGAAGCUAUUGUGAACGAGUACAAUGAUCUCCUGACUUCCCAACUGGAGGAUCAAAAAAUGUACUUUGAGUCCUUAUUGCAAGAGGCUGAAGAAGAAAUUGAAAGGGAAACUAAGGAAGCUGUUGAGAAAGUUCUAUGCCAGAAUCCAAGGUUAAUGAAGUUAAAAGUUCGUUUGGACAAAUGCGUUGAAGAGAAGAAAUUCCAUGAUGACAUCAAUGACAAUCUUACGAGGAACAAGGAGAUAUGGGAAGCCAAGAUAUUGGAAAUUGAAGAAAGGGAGAAGGCGGCUUUGAAAAUGAAGGAUGAGGAGAUAUCCGAAUUGGAGGAACAGAUUGCCACUUUGAUGGAGUCCAUCGAUACAUAGAAUGAAUUUAAAGGGAUGUCAUAGCAAAUCAUGAAAUGAAGGACGAAGAUAACCUUUAACAUCAAACAAUUCCAUCGGAUUGACAGCCUACCUGGAGUGUAGAUGCAUCUGCAAAGCGCAGUGACAAAGAGACCUUGAAGUCGAGUGUCAAGGGAAAACAGCCUGGGAUCUUACACCAGUAUUGAUCAAAGUGCUAAAGUGAAAAUACAUUUUCCCUCCUCCACAGUACAAUAUUACUAGUCUAUAGAGUAACCUUGUGUAAAUUGUUUUGACAGUGCUUCAAACAACUAUAAACUUUAUUGCAAACAAAAGGUGAAUCAUA
Molecule: unclassified non-coding RNA, 1170 nt
Filed under: Hevea brasiliensis (rubber tree)
Lineage: Eukaryota; Viridiplantae; Streptophyta; Magnoliopsida; Malpighiales; Euphorbiaceae
Source: RNAcentral